UACGUAGGGCGCAAGCGUUAUCCGGAAUUAUUGGGCGUAAAGAGCUCGUAGGCGGUUUGUCGCGUCUGCCGUGAAAGUCCGGGGCUCAACUCCGGAUCUGCGGUGGGUACGGGCAGACUAGAGUGAUGUAGGGGAGACUGGAAUUCCUGGUGUAGCGGUGAAAUGCGUAGAUACCAGGAGGAACACCGGUGGCGAAGGCGGGUCUCUGGGCAGUAACUGACGCUGAGGAGCGAAAGCGUGGGGAGCGAACAGG
Molecule: ribosomal RNA, 253 nt
Filed under: uncultured bacterium
Lineage: Bacteria
Description: partial 16S ribosomal RNA
Rfam family: Bacterial small subunit ribosomal RNA
Source: RNAcentral